Molecule: RNA transcript, 2656 nt
Organism: Triticum aestivum (bread wheat)
Lineage: Eukaryota; Viridiplantae; Streptophyta; Magnoliopsida; Poales; Poaceae
Exons: 10
Source: RefSeq, a predicted model, not a curated record
GCACCCACUCACCAUCGUUCCAAUCCCCACGCACGCACUCACCACCCUUCCAAUCCCGCACCCGCACCCGCUCGCCGAAACCCUAGCCGCCGCCGCCCCCGCACCUUGGCCGACCCUCAGCCCGUCGACGGCGAGGAGCCCUCAGCCCGUCGCCUGCCUUUACCGACAAAUCACGCGACCGCGUGCCCACCAAAUCCUAAAUCUCACCGUCUCCGCCCUCUCCCCGUCCCCUCCACCAAGAUCGCACCAACCACCUCGAUGGCCGCCGCCGCACCGCCGCACGCCGCGGCGCUCCUGGCCGCCCUCGCCCUGCUCGCGCUCGCGCCCCCGGCGGUGGCCGAGAUCCGGUCGAUGGCGAUCCGGGCCGACCCGCGCACUAUGAUCCCGUGCGGUGCGGGAGAUCGGCACGGCGACAGAGAAACCUCGGCGACCAGACGACGGCGCAGGUUGACUCCGGUCCGGCCUGGAAGGAGAGAAUGGGCAAGUCAUGGGCGUUCGUCACCCACCUCCACUCCGUCGUCGGGUAUGUAUCCAUCCUAUCUACUCGCAAAUCUCAUGGUGUUCCACUCUUUUCUGCGGGCGAGAUGUCGAGUGUUGUCUGCUAUCCUCUGCCUCUUCGUUUCCUUGCGCAGGCCAAGCAUCACGCUGUUGUACCCUCUGUAUGUGUCGGUGUGCGCCAUGGAGAGCCCGUCCAAGGUGGACGACGAGUAGUGGCUGGCCUACUGGAUCCUCUACUCAUUCAUCACCCUCCUCGAGAUGCUCGCCGAGCCCGUCCUCUACUGGAUACGGAUGUGGUACCCAGUGAAGCUGCCCCACGGUGGCUCCGGCAAGACCCUCGAGGUCGUCGUCAUGCUGUCCGGGACCCCCGAUUCAAAUGUAAAGUGUGGCCUCUGUUUGCUGAAGUAUCCUUUGAGGUGUAAUGCUUCCACCAGAGAUUAGCUACGCCAGCAUCUCCGUAAAGCAACUAGUAUUAUGGAAUGUGGUAGCCAUGGAGGCACCAAUUGGCGUGAGAGGCAGAAGGGGAAUGCUGACACCGCGUUCCAUGCUCCUUCAGACAUGGAGUCCAGGCGCGCACGGCUCCGUCGCCCUGCGUGCUCCAUUGGAGGAGCCCCCGCCCCGCGCGUGGCCGCCUUGGAGUUGGAGCGCUUCCUGCCCCACGCCCCUUGUCUGGUCUGGCGGCGGGUUCCUCCUGGCCGCGAUGAUGCCCGAGGCCGGCCGCUACACCCACAAGAAGGAUGAUGGCAUCUGCAACAGUGAGCUGCAGGGUUUUGCUUGCUCGCUUGCUUACUUUGCUGCCUGUCUGUAAUCUGGUCGAUUUUGUUUUCUGCUACCAUUCACAGUGUCGUGAAAAUGGAGAUGCAUGUCUAACUGCUUCACAUGCUUAGUCUACUUUAAUGUGUAAAAUGGCAGGCAAAUGCUGCUGCAAAGAUAUUAGUGGUAUAUGUGCAUGCAUUUGACAAUAUGAUUUCACAUGUUUGUUUGAACAUUAACCAUACAGAUUAUGGUACAGUUAAUUUGGUGCAGUUGAAUGAGUGCUUGGUGUUGAUAUUUUGUUAAAUGAGCAUUAUUUUGUCUUAUAAUAGAUUGAUUUGCACUAUUUUGGUUAAUCAAAGUCCCGCAAUCAUAUGUGAUUUAAUUGACUGAGAUGUUGCAGUAGACUUUGUUGCUAGCUAUUUAAGAUCACUUCAGAUAUUAUAUAAACAUCAUGUUGUGAUAGUGGUGGUCAUUGUGUGCAUGCAAUUAACCAGGACGACGAGUGCGGCGAUGAGUCCGACCAGGGCGCGCUAGCAGAGGAGGCCCAGGAGCUUGCCGCCCCUGAUGGCGAGGGCUUGCCCGACUAGGAUGGUGGCCGCCAAGGCCAACGCCAGUGAGGAUGUCAUCCCGGAGUUCAUUGGGGGCCUCAUCCCAUUUGACAAGGCGCAUGACACUACAAGUGCGUCCCCGUGGACGGCAGGAGAAAUAGUGAGGAUGAAGAGGUGAAUGGUGUUGAUUGUUGAACUGAAAGCUUGAUUUGGUCAGGUGGAGGGUGGCUUUGUGAAGGAUGGGGAGGUGGGAGAAGAAGAAAUCUGAAGGAAAGCGGUGAGUAGAUGUCGAUGAUGUCUACUUGCUUGGCUGCUAUGGUGAUGCAUGCAGCGGUGAAGCACGCACACAUGCAAGGCUGGCCCCAUGUCUUCCUUGGCUGCGAACAUCAUCUACAGUCUUUGUUCGUUAAUACCAAGUACUUAGGCUAGCAGUAUGACCGGAUGCGAGGACCUGCUCACUGACCAGGACAAUCUAUGAGCUCCCAGCGCCUCUGAUACAAGGUGCGUUAGGGCCAACCUCUUCCGGAAGAAGGCCACACUUGUAGCCCCUCUGGAUCAAAAUUGGAUGGCAAGUUGUCGCAGCUGGAGCAAGUCUCGCAAGAGAGAGCAAUGAAAUCCAUUGUACUCUCCUGUUAUAUACUUCUUGUUGUAGGAUGGCAAGUUGUAGGAUGUACGUGUAAACCUGAUUGUACUCUCCUGUCUAAACUACAUCCAUAAUUGUCUUAUUGCAUAUUCCCUCUGCUCCUUCUAUAUUCCUGUGUAAGGAAAUGUAUUCCUGAGAUGAUUUGUUAUGUAAACCUGAUGUGAUGCGAUGGAUGAUUUGAAUUUCAUAUGUAGUUUUCUUGAUUUUAAUA